RNAcentral lists this ribosomal RNA (1457 nucleotides) under Campylobacter jejuni. Its description in RNAcentral is "partial 23S ribosomal RNA". It matches the Rfam family "Bacterial large subunit ribosomal RNA", at positions 1 to 1328 of the family's 2925-position model. The record is from RNAcentral. Lineage: Bacteria; Pseudomonadati; Campylobacterota; Epsilonproteobacteria; Campylobacterales; Campylobacteraceae.
AAAAAAGGUAAGCUACUAAGAGCGAAUGGUGGAUGCCUUGACUGGUAAAGGCGAUGAAGGACGUACUAGACUGCGAUAAGCUACGGGGAGCUGUCAAGAAGCUUUGAUCCGUAGAUUUCCGAAUGGGGCAACCCAAUGUAUAGAGAUAUACAUUACCUAUAUAGGAGCGAACGAGGGGAAUUGAAACAUCUUAGUACCCUCAGGAAAAGAAAUCAAUAGAGAUUGCGUCAGUAGCGGCGAGCGAAAGCGCAAGAGGGCAAACCCAGUGCUUGCACUGGGGGUUGUAGGACUGCAAUGUGCAAGAGGUAAGUUUAGCAGAACAUUCUGGAAAGUAUAACCAUAGAGGGUGAUAGUCCCGUAUGCGAAAAACAAACCUUAGCUAGCAGUAUCCUGAGUAGGGCGGGACACGAGGAAUCCUGUCUGAAUCCGGGUCGACCACGAUCCAACCCUAAAUACUAAUACCAGAUCGAUAGUGCACAAGUACCGUGAGGGAAAGGUGAAAAGAACUGAGGUGAUCAGAGUGAAAUAGAACCUGAAACCAUUUGCUUACAAUCAUUCAGAGCCCUAUGUAGCAAUACAGGGUGAUGGACUGCCUUUUGCAUAAUGAGCCUGCGAGUUGUGGUGUCUGGCAAGGUUAAGCAAACGCGAAGCCGUAGCGAAAGCGAGUCUGAAUAGGGCGCUUAGUCAGAUGCUGCAGACCCGAAACGAAGUGAUCUAUCCAUGAGCAAGUUGAAGCUAGUGUAAGAACUAGUGGAGGACUGAACCCAUAGGCGUUGAAAAGCCCCGGGAUGACUUGUGGAUAGGGGUGAAAGGCCAAUCAAACUUCGUGAUAGCUGGUUCUCUCCGAAAUAUAUUUAGGUAUAGCGUUGUGUCGUAAUAUAAGGGGGUAGAGCACUGAAUGGGCUAGGGCAUACACCAAUGUACCAAACCCUAUCAAACUCCGAAUACCUUAUAUGUAAUCACAGCAGUCAGGCGGCGAGUGAUAAAAUCCGUCGUCAAGAGGGAAACAACCCAGACUACCAGCUAAGGUCCCUAAAUCUUACUUAAGUGGAAAACGAUGUGAAGUUACUUAAACAACCAGGAGGUUGGCUUAGAAGCAGCCAUCCUUUAAAGAAAGCGUAAUAGCUCACUGGUCUAGUGAUUUUGCGCGGAAAAUAUAACGGGGCUAAAGUAAGUACCGAAGCUGUAGACUUGCACACAACUUAGAUUAUUUAAGUUUAGAAUAUGAGAAACUAAGUUAUAUGUUUAGUUAUAUUUUUACUGAUUUUUAUAGAGUAAAGAUAGAAAUAAAACUUAGUAAAAUCAGUAAAAAUAUUCUUAGACUAAAGUUAAGUAGUUUAAGUUGUGUGCAAGUGGUAGGAGAGCGUUCUAUUUGCGUCGAAGGUAUACCGGUAAGGAGUGCUGGAGCGAAUAGAAGUGAGCAUGCAGGCAUGAGUAGCGAUAAUUAAUGUGAGAAU